CGGCGCGUGGCGGCUGAGCGGCCGCGUUUGGCUCCCGGAGCGCCCACACCCUCUCGGGCUUCCGGCUUUCUCCCGAGGCCCGGCUGCGCCUGGCUUGUGGUAGCAUCCGCUGUGGCCAGGCUCGGAGCUACACUCAGGAAAAGUGGAGUUAAUGGAGGUUCCUAGAGACACUCACACAAUUCUCAAUCCACAUUUCAAAAGGCUCCCCUGAGACGCACCCUGUCGGCCCCUUUCCGAAAGCACGCGAACUUAAGGCUGGCAGGUGCUUUAAAAGACACUCCUCCCAAGGACUAGGAAGCCUCUGAAAUGGGCUUGGAAGUUUCUAAUCCCAAAGACUUCGAACCCAGGAUCUGGAUAGCAAGCAAAAAUAUUUAGAUAUUUACUCAGUUGAAAACGUGGGGGGUGGCUUCGUGGUCUCUUCGCCAGCCAAAUCGCGUGGAAAACCACGACCUCAAUUUUUACAACAGCACGAAGACUUACAAGUGAGCGUAGCAGCGACUUCCUGGAACCUCAAACAAUGUGGGACGCUGCAAUAAUGCCUGAGGGCUUUUGACUUACAGUUGCCGCCGGAGACCUGGGGAGGGGGUAGUACUUGGGCCGGAGCUUUUUGAAAAUACAGAAUCCUGCAAUCUACCCCCUCAAGAUUCUGAUUCCUUUGUCCAGGGAGAGGCCAAGACAUGGCACUUUUAAAAACUAUAUUUAAAAAAAUAUGUUUGGGACAUGCCUACAUGUAAAGGCAGAGUAAAGAAGAUCAGCUGUUUUUGAAGGAGAUUAACACAUAAUUUAAGAAUGUUAUUGAAGACCUAGAGAUUGUAGUCAAUAAUAUGCAAUGCAGUAAGGUGAAGUAAAGUGAAGACCAAGGAAUUUAUGGCCUUUGGAGAGAAGAAAACCCACACAUAAAUGACCCUAGCAUGUGCACCAGUAUGAGUUCUCUGGGAACAGAGAGAGGGUCAAGAAAUUAUGUUGGCUUUGAACAAGUUCUCUUCUCAAUGCUUCACUUUUUUUUUAUCAAUAAAAUGGGAGCCAUUUUCAAUCCUCAUCUUUCUUGGCCUCUCAACAAUACUCAACACUUUGACCACUAUUCUUUCUUAAACAUUUCUUCUUCCUUUGACACUGCAUUUUCUUGGUUUUCCUCCUUAGUUUCCUAGGCACUGCUUCUCUGAUUCCUUUGCAUAUUCCUGCUGGUCUCCCUAACUAUUAAAUAUAACAGUACCUUAAAAUUCAGUUUUAGAUUCUUUUCUGUUUUCAUUGUAAUCUCUUGGCCUAAGCAGCAUCACCCACGCCAAUGGCUUUAGUUAUCAUCUAUAUGCCAGUGAUCUCCACAUAUAUGCCUCCAGCCCAGACCUUUCCUCUAAAUUCCAAAUCUGAUCCACUAGUCAAAGUUUGACCCUACCUCUAAAUUCCAAGCUUCACUGACAUGGCCACUUAAUAUCUCAAAGUUGCAAAGUUUAGUCCAACUGAGUUCAUGAACACUUGUUUUCCUUAUCCCCCAUCUCUCUAGUUAUUCAAAUCAAAUAUCUAGUAGUCAGUAACCGCUGAUGUCUCCCUCACCUCCAUUCUUCCAUUCUCCAUAUUUGUUGCAGCACUAACUCCUGGCAAUUUUAUUUCUAAAAUCUAAUUGGUCUACUUCUUUCCAAUCACCACCAAUCUAAUUCGAUCUCACUGUAUACAAUCUGGGAUCCUCCAUUCAGUCUCCAUUUUGCAGCCAAAAUUAUCCUCUAAGAAAGCAAAUGAGACUAUGUCACUACUCCAAAAAUCUCCUUAAACAGUUUCUCAUUGCUUUAGGAUAAGUCUAGAAUUCUUAAGGCAGCCUAAAAGACCAUACGAGGUCUGGCCUUACCUGCCUUUUCCAGCCUCAUCUCACACCAUUUUCACCUUGUUUCCUGGGCAGACUUCCUGGUCUUCUUUUAGUUUCUCAAAAAUGCUAUGAUCCCAACAACCAAAGGCUCUAUGUACAUGCCAUUCUCUCCUUUAGUUAUCCUAUCUCUUACUCAUCCUUCAGGUCUCAGCUUGAAAGCGACAUCCUUGGGAAAAACAUUUCUGACCUCCCAGAUACAUUCAAGAUACCUUGUUAUGUCAGCUCUCUUACCACCAUAUACCCUCCCCUCUUAUGACUUACCACAGCUUGUAACUACAUUUUGGUAUGUGUAACUACUAGGUUAAUGUCUGUUGCUCCCCACAUUAGGAUAAAGACCAUGUCUAUUUGGGCCUGCACAGUGCCUGGCACAUAGAAGCUACCCAAUAAAUAUUUCUUGAAUGAUUAUUGUCCUAUGAGUUUAUUUCUGGGAUUCUAGAAGGUUGUUAGAUCG
RNAcentral lists this long non-coding RNA (2309 nucleotides) under Homo sapiens (human). RNAcentral describes it as "HSALNT0201573". The record is from RNAcentral. Lineage: Eukaryota; Metazoa; Chordata; Mammalia; Primates; Hominidae.